CUAGGUGUAGCGGGUAUUGACCCCUGCUGUGCCGAAGCUAACGCAUUAAGUGAUCCGCCUGCGNAGUACGACCGCAAGGUUAAAACUCAAAGGAAUGACAGAGGCCACGCACAANCGGUGGAGCAUGUGGAUUAAUUCGACACAACGCGAAGAACCUUACAUGGGUUGACUAUCCCGAGAAGUCUUUCGAAAGUUAGAUGUGCCAUUCGGGGAAAUCGGUGACAGGUGCUGCAUGACUGUCGUCAGCUCAUGUCGUGAGAUGAUGGGUUAAGUCCCGCAACGAGCGCAACCCCUAUCUUUAGUAACCAGCAUUGNNUUGGGGACUCUAGAGAUACUGACCCGGUCAACGGGGACGAAGGUGGGGAUGACGUCAAGUCAUCAUGGCCUUUAUGCCUAGGCUACUACACGUGAUACAAUGGNCUGUACUAANGGUUGCGAUCCCGCGAGGGGAGCCCAAUCCCCAAAAGCAGCCAGUAGUUCGAUUUGAGUCUGCAACUGACUCCAUGAAGUGGAAUCGCUAGUA
Molecule: ribosomal RNA, 523 nt
Filed under: uncultured organism
Description: bacterial SSU rRNA
Rfam family: Bacterial small subunit ribosomal RNA
Source: RNAcentral